This 514-nucleotide ribosomal RNA is filed under the name uncultured bacterium. RNAcentral's name for it is "partial 16S ribosomal RNA". The record is from RNAcentral.
GGAGUUAGCCGGUGCUUCUUCUGUGAGUGAUGUCCUUCCUGCCGGCUAUUAACCCGCAGGCCUUCUUCCUCACUGAAAGUGCUUUACAACCCGAAGGCCUUCUUCACACACGCGGCAUGGCUGGAUCAGGGUUGCCCCCAUUGUCCAAUAUUCCCCACUGCUGCCUCCCGUAGGAGUCUGGGCCGUGUCUCAGUCCCAGUGUGGCUGAUCAUCCUCUCAGACCAGCUACGGAUCGUCGCCUUGGUGAGCCGUUACCUCACCAACCAGCUAAUCCGACAUAGGCUCAUCCGAUAGCGCGAGGCCCGAAGGUCCCCCGCUUUCCCCCGUAGGGCGUAUGCGGUAUUAGCCUGGGUUUCCCCCAGGUUAUCCCCCACUACCGGGCAGAUUCCUAUGCAUUACUCACCCGUCCGCCGCUCGCCACCACGGAGCAGCUCCCGUCGCUGCCGCUCGACUGCAUGUGUUAGGUCGUCGCCGCCACGCGUUCUACUACUGAGCCACUAAUACAAACUACUGA